This 241-nucleotide small RNA is filed under the name Vigna angularis var. angularis. RNAcentral's name for it is "Non-protein coding transcript". Lineage: Eukaryota; Viridiplantae; Streptophyta; Magnoliopsida; Fabales; Fabaceae. The record is from RNAcentral.
CAUCGCAUUACGUUUUCGAUGUCAGUGGCAUCAUCAACACCACCGACACCACCUUCUUCUUCACCUUCCAAAAACGUGGAGAAUGGUUGAAGAUAGGAUUGAAAAUGAAGGCCAACAUGGAGGUCUAUGUUGUGGUAGAAGAAGACGCAGAAUGAGUUCUUUGUUUUGCAUUAUGAGGUGUGAGAUUAAAGAAGAAGAAUAAGAAGAAAAAGAUUGUGUUGAGCGUGUGUAGUUAAAGGAG